Molecule: non-coding RNA, 413 nt
Organism: Microcebus murinus (gray mouse lemur)
Lineage: Eukaryota; Metazoa; Chordata; Mammalia; Primates; Cheirogaleidae
Source: RefSeq, a predicted model, not a curated record
CUUGAUAUCAUCACAAAAGUUCUCUGAUAGGCUCCUUUUUUAAGAACCUGUUUGAGGCUUCCCAACCGAAGUCUGUUAGACGGAGGAGUGAGGCCUGGAGAAAGGAAGAGACGUAUCCAAAGUCACGCCAUGCGUUUGUGGCAGAAUUGAACGAGCUACGGCAUGGAAGGCAAGGGUUAAAGCAGAGAAAAGAAUUAGAAGGCCCUCGCAGCAGUCCAUUGGAGAGGUUUGGGCAGCUUGGACCAAGGAGGAGGCAGUGGAGAUGGAGAGACAUGGAAUUGGGAACAGCCCCAAGGCUUUCUGCUGGGCCGUGAAGAAAAUGAAAUAAGAUUUUUACUUUUGAUGGAAGAGUAGGAACAAGAGCAUGGAAGAGGAAUGAAACCAGUGUGGGUUGUGGUAGGCAAAGGAGUGAU